CCAGACUCCUACGGGAGGCAGCAGUGAGGAAUAUUGGUCAAUGGGCGAGAGCCUGAACCAGCCAAGUCGCGUGAAGGAUGACGGCCCUAUGGAUUGUAAACCUCUUUUGUCGGGGAGCAAAAGACGCCACGCGUGGCGUUCCGAGAGUACCCGAAGAAAAAGCAUCGGCUAACUCCGUGCCAGCAGCCGCGGUAAUACGGAGGAUGCGAGCGUUAUCCGGAUUUAUUGGGUUUAAAGGGUGCGCAGGCGGAAGAUAAAGUAAGGGGUAAAAUUGGGAGGCCCACCCUCUGCGAGCCGUUGAAACUGGUUUUCUUGAGUGAGUGAGAGGUAUGCGGAAUGCGUGGUGUAGCGGUGAAAUGCAUAGAUAUCACGCAGAACUCCGAUUGCGAAGGCAGCAUACCGGCGCUCAACUGACGCUCAUGCACGAAAGUGUGGGUAUCGAACAGGAUUAGAUACCCGUGUAA
RNAcentral lists this ribosomal RNA (464 nucleotides) under uncultured bacterium. RNAcentral's name for it is "bacterial SSU rRNA". It matches the Rfam family "Bacterial small subunit ribosomal RNA", at positions 331 to 793 of the family's 1533-position model. The record is from RNAcentral.